GAUGGAAUGUCAAUUUUGGCACAUGUGCCAGAGUGAGAUGGAUGUGUGCGUCCCUCUUUAUAUAUUUUUUUCUACAAUAUCCAUCGUGCAGGCAAUUUUUAUUAAAAUGCGCAGACGUAGCUAAAGGCGGAGUUGACGGUUGUGUUUUUCUUUGGUGCGGUCGACCGGAAUUGGCAUUCACGGGAACAGUAUCUCGUCGACGUCGUUUUAGAUGAUUGUGGUGUUUUGAGCAAGUCUCAUAACGGAGCGCGCUUUCUUCGAGGGUACUUCAUCACAAACCAGCCAACACAUACAGUCGCAUUAUCAUUCGAAACGUCGAAAGGUGAUGUUGAGGAAACUAAGGAACACAACAUGAGAGAAAAAAAACAAGAACUUGGAAAAGAACGUCACUCUCUGUGAGGAACUUGUAGUGAGUGUUUGUUGCCUCGUCACAUCAUCCUCGGGUUUUGUGUACUUCGCUAGAUCGGUUUUUGCGCCUUCCUCCGGUUAAGCCUCUCUCUUCUACUAAAAAGUCCGCAUCAUGAUGGAAACGACACGAUGAUGAGGACAGCACCAGGGCAUACCAGGCCGCGAGAGAUGAAGAAAAACAUUCACCAUAUUUUUAAUGCCUCUUGUGGUGUGUGAACGCACAACGUGUGUUAAAAUAACUAUAAAAGAGUGAAUCGAGUUUUGUGGUGAAACCUGUUUCAAAAAAUAUCUGUUGACGACUACAGCCAUCAUGUUUUCUUCUUACAACACAUCCACUUUUCAAGGAUCUCUAUCGCAAAGUUUUUUUUUUUUUCAAGUAAACCAUUCUCCCCUCCAUUCUAUUUUUCAAUUUUGAAAAAAAAAAAGAAAAAAGAAAAAAUUGAGUUAAGCAUAGAACUAAAUGCACUGACUUGUCGCUAAUCAAUCGCGCCAACACAGAUUUGCAGACUCAAAACUACAAAUCGACUAAGGCAUUAGGCUCUCACUCUGCAAACAGUGAACAAUUUAUCGUGUGUCUCUAUCGGUAUCGGCCCGUUUUUUUUUCCUCAACUCUCUUGUUCACAUUAUUUCUCUAUCUUGAGUCAGUCCGGCUUUUUUUUCUUACUCCGAUCUCUCUCUUACUCUUCACUAACAUGUUCGCCCAACAAAAGUGAUCUCUAACUGGUCUUUAAACAUUCACGAUGGACAGAAGAAAAAAAAACCAAGCACCGAACAAAAAACCAGUAAAAUACUGCUUUUGUCCGAAAAAAAAAACCGAACAUAAAGUAAGAAUGUUGAGAUGAAAAAAGCGGCGAACAAGAGAGGCACAAUAGAUGAAUUUAAUGGAUUUUUCCAUAAUUUACUCUCGUAGAUCGUUUUCGAGUAAAAGUGAAGUGAUUAAUAGUGGUGCCUGAGACAACGCGGGCCAGUGAUGAUAUUCGGACUGAAGAUAGCUCAAUGGGAUGAUGAAGAUAACUGACGAAAUCUGAAUUAAGCUAACUGAAUGUUAAGUUUAAUUCCUGAAAUUGUGGGCGAAAUAUCAACGUUACCAUCGGACAACCUGAAACAGCCCCAUCGGAUCCAUCAGAGAUAGGAAUCGAAAGCGUAUUUGGGCACACCUUUGACUGGACAUCAUUUCGACGCUUACACACAUUUUCUAAAUUACACACCACGAAAAUUGUACAACUUGAUUACUUCGAAAGGCGCAAAAAUUCACCUUUAUUUCUCUGUGGAUAUUUUCGGAGACCGGCUUUUCGGUCGGACACCUGAGGUGAAAACCAGAAGGAGGAACGGACAAGUAUGCAAAUCACCACAGGAAUGGAAGUAAAGUUGCUGCUGAUGCAUAGCCCAGAAAACCAAUUUGCCACUCAUUGCAGCAAUUUUCAUCAAUUUCUUCCCUUGCCUGUGGGGCGGCGUCUGCUUUGGCCAGGAGAAGGAAAACAGAAGUGCAAUUAGUGUGGUGAUAAAAAGUGUCUGCAGAGGAAUUUUCUCCGCACGAGCACCCAAUUUAUCUGUCCAUUCUCGCCCAUCGACCAGUGUGUGGAGAGAAUUUUUCCUCCCCAUAUUGCUGAGGAGUUCCGGAAGGUAGCAAUUACAAAAAGUGGCUUGCGAUGGGGGAUGAGGAGUCCCGCCCAAUCGAGCGAUUUCGCGGCUCAAACUUCCUGCAAUUACGUGCAAUUAGAGGUAGUUGUGCAGUGAUAAAUAUCCAUGGCAAUUGCUGAGGCUUGGCGCAUUUUGCCCGAGAAAAACCCACUUUACUAACCAUCAAAUGGUGCCCUCCACAAGCGAGGUAUAGAGUUCCUACGCUUUAUUUGAUCGUAGGAACUUCAUACCGUGCUCUUGGAGCACUCAAAGACAUCGAAGAUUUUCUCGGGCAUAGCCUCUCCAUCCACGUGAUAUUUUGGACAGAGUA
Long non-coding RNA from Phlebotomus papatasi, 2359 nucleotides. RefSeq lists it as uncharacterized. The record is from RefSeq and is a predicted model, not a curated record. Lineage: Eukaryota; Metazoa; Arthropoda; Insecta; Diptera; Psychodidae. The transcript is spliced from 4 exons.